This 330-nucleotide unclassified non-coding RNA is filed under the name soil metagenome. RNAcentral describes it as "partial contains 5.8S ribosomal RNA, internal transcribed spacer 2, and large subunit ribosomal RNA". The stretch from base 1 to 120 matches the Rfam family "5.8S ribosomal RNA", at positions 35 to 154 of the family's 154-position model. The record is from RNAcentral.
GAUGAAGAACGUAGCGAAAUGCGAUAAGUAAUGUGAAUUGCAGAAUUCAGUGAAUCAUCGAAUCUUUGAACGCACAUUGCGCCCCUUGGUAUUCCGAGGGGCAUGCCUGUUCGAGCGUCAUUUCAACCCUCAAGCACUGCUUGGUCUUGGGCUUCGCCGCUAACCCGGCGGGUCUUAAAAUCAGUGGCGGUGCCGUCGGGCCCUGAGCGCAGUAAUCUCUCUCGCUAUAGGGUCCCGGCGGAUGCUGGCCAGUAACCCCCAAUUUUCUAUGGUUGACCUCGGAUCAGGUAGGGAUACCCGCUGAACUUAAGCAUAUCAAUAAGCGGAGGA